Molecule: long non-coding RNA, 104 nt
Organism: Maniola jurtina (meadow brown)
Lineage: Eukaryota; Metazoa; Arthropoda; Insecta; Lepidoptera; Nymphalidae
Exons: 3
Source: RefSeq, a predicted model, not a curated record
CAUAACAUUAAGUAACGGUGUGACAUGUUUCAUACAGUUCCAUACAUUAGAACGGAAUGGUACGCACUACGUCUACGCUAACGCAGCCUGUGUGAACGAGUUAU